CGCACAGUUCGUGUAGUCUGCUAAGCAUCCCAUUUUGAUCAAUUUCAUCCACUACAAACUCUUUUCCAUCAUCCAAUUUUCUAGUUUCAUAAACAGAAGUAUUCUCCAUGUUAGUUUCAAACUCAUCCCAAGUUUCAAUUGAGUGAGAAGACAUUGAAGACUGAUCAUCUUCAAAACCCGACAUCCUCAACACUGCCCCACUAGUAUCCACCAUUCUAUCAAUACCCAGUUGGAUUUUAGUGGAGGAUUGAUCAGGUGACUCCUCCUGGGCGAUUGUAUUUUGAUCCAAAGUUAC
Molecule: unclassified non-coding RNA, 295 nt
Filed under: Hevea brasiliensis (rubber tree)
Lineage: Eukaryota; Viridiplantae; Streptophyta; Magnoliopsida; Malpighiales; Euphorbiaceae
Source: RNAcentral